This 552-nucleotide long non-coding RNA is filed under the name Calidris pugnax (ruff). Its description in RNAcentral is "lncRNA (ENSCPUG00000011692.1)". Lineage: Eukaryota; Metazoa; Chordata; Aves; Charadriiformes; Scolopacidae. The record is from RNAcentral.
AUGGCUAAUUUCUCUUGUAUGACUACAGGUGGCAGUGUAGAAGCCAGGAACAAAAAUUGGCAGAAAUUAUAUUCUGUGUACGAGAAAAUGAAGAGUGUACUCAUGACUAAGCACAGGAACCUGGAAAACCACAGGCUUUAGUCAGGUGAUCGCUGAUGACUAGUCAGCCCACCAAGAAGGGAGUUCAGCACACAGGUAAGAGAGAAGCCGUGUCCUCUUCCAUGCAACUGGGGGAUGCGGGGUGGGGAGGUAAACAGCCCUAACAUUGUUUGCAUAGUUUAAAAAAAAAAAAAAAUACUCCUGACUUGCUUGGGUGCAUAACACUGUGAUUGUGUCUUAAAAUGCUGCUACUUUUGCUAUUCAGUCUUUUUCUUGCAUUUUUGUUUUUUAUUGUGUUUUGGUUUUUUUUUUUUUUCUUUUCUUUAAAUCUGUCUUUAAUUAGAAGCUUUAUUGGAAAAAAAAGACCAAUUGUGUGCUGCUAAAUAUAGUCCUGGGUAUUGCAUGAAUGUUGCAUUCUGCUACUUUUUGAAUAAAAUAACUUUCCAUAAUGCA